AUUGAACGCUGGCGGUAGGCCUAACACAUGCAAGUCGAACGGCAGCACAGUAAGAGCUUGCUCUUACGGGUGGCGAGUGGCGGACGGGUGAGGAAUACAUCGGAGUCUACUUUUUCGUGGGUGAUAACGUAGGGAAACUUACGCUAAUACCGCAUACGACCUACGGGUGAAAGCAUGGGAUCUUCGGACCUUGCGCGAUUGAAUGAGCCGAUGUCGGAUUAGCUAGUUGGCGGGGUAAAGGCCCGCCAAUGCGACGAUCCGUAGCUGGUCUGAGAGGAUGAUCAGCCACACUGGAACUGAGACACGGUCCAGACUCCUACGGGAGGCAGCAGUGGGGAAUAUUGGACAAUGGGCGAAAGCCUGAUCCAGCCAUACCGCGUGGGUGAAGAAGGUCUUCGGGUUGUAAAGCCCUUUUGUUGGGAAAGAAAAGCAGCAGGUUAAUACCCCGCUGUUCUGACGGUACCCAAAGAAUAAGCACCGGCUAACUUCGUG
This 492-nucleotide ribosomal RNA is filed under the name uncultured bacterium. RNAcentral describes it as "partial 16S ribosomal RNA". It matches the Rfam family "Bacterial small subunit ribosomal RNA", at positions 30 to 507 of the family's 1533-position model. The record is from RNAcentral.